Long non-coding RNA from Agrilus planipennis (emerald ash borer), 1195 nucleotides. RefSeq lists it as uncharacterized. The transcript has 3 exons. NCBI's taxonomy places the organism in Eukaryota, Metazoa, Arthropoda, Insecta, Coleoptera, Buprestidae. The record is from RefSeq and is a predicted model, not a curated record.
AAUAUAAGUUAUAUACCUCUAUAUAUAGCCUGACAAAUCCAUUUGUUUAUUUAUUUGUGUGCGCAUGGGUACGUGAGUGGAUAUGUGCGUGUGGAUGUAUUUGUGUAUAUAAAACAUUUGUUGGCAAUUAGGGUAUAAAAACUGGCUAAUUAGCGAAAAAGCCCUACAGACUGAUAUAGAUUUAUUGGAGGUUUCUUAAGUUUUAAGGCAUUUCUUCUGUUUUGCGAGCUAACUGGGGUGAUUCCCUGGUGUUUUGAUUAAUUGGACUGUUGAAUUUUGUCGGUGAACAAGAAAGGAGGUAACUAUUUUAUGAGACUAGAUAAUGAACAUUGGCAGCUGCUACCCAUUUUCUUUGUUAACUCAUUAAUGCCAAACGUCUUUUUAAAAGGACAGCGGUUGACAUUCUGCUAAAUUAUUUAUAAUGGGUUUAACUGAACUGUAGUAUGAUGGAUGGCGCUGUAUACAUGUUUCCUAAUAUUAGCUUCAGUGCAAUAAUGUGACUACAAGUAAUUAUUCCAUUAUUUAUGUGAUUUUUUAGUAAUGGUACAUUUUAACCUUGAUGCAGCUGGGGAUUUGCGAAUAAGUGGAUUGGAGCCAAAAUAUUUAAAUCCAAAAUGAAGAAAGUGAUGGUUUUGGAGAUGACGAAGAAGAGAUUAAUGAAGAGAGUUCCGAUGCGGAUUAUUCCGAAAAUGAAGAACCCAGGUGUGAAUAUUCCAAGAGUGAACUGGAAGAGCUAACGAAAGAAAAUGAAAAGUUCUACUUUGGAAAAAAUAAAUUUAAAUGGAAUAAAGACGCACCUCCCAACAAGAAAGCUACUAACUAUGGCCCCAGUCGUAGGACACGUAGGUGGCUUAUGGCAUUUUUUUUGCCGGCUAGAUGUGAGCACGAUCAAUACCUAUGUACGUCUUUUUCUAGUUACAAGGAUACUCCAAAAUUGAAAAUGUUAGACGAAAGUUUAGUACUGCCACAGUGGGAAAGAAGAAUAGUAAAUUCCAAAUUACCUAGAGAAGUGUAAACGACUAUUACAAGGCUUUGCGGUAACAAUGAUAAUAUUGUAAUUGAGAACAGCCCUCCAGAGAACCGCCUUGAAAAAAGAUCAACGUGUUAUGUAUGUCCACCAAUGUUUAAACACAAAACGCAGUAUGCCUGCUGCUAUUGCAAAAAGCCAAUUUGUCGCGACUGCAUGUGAACAAAA